This 380-nucleotide ribosomal RNA is filed under the name uncultured bacterium. RNAcentral describes it as "bacterial SSU rRNA". It matches the Rfam family "Bacterial small subunit ribosomal RNA", at positions 335 to 702 of the family's 1533-position model. The record is from RNAcentral.
ACUCCUACGGGAGGCAGCAGUUGGGGAAUACUUGCACAAUGGGCGCAAGCCUGAUGCAGCCAUGCCGCGUGUGUGAAGAAGGCCUUCGGGUUGUAAAGCACUUUCUAGUCGUGAGGAAGGUAGUAGUAGUUAACUAGCUGCAUUAUUUGACGUUAGCGACAGAAGAAGCACCGGCUAACUCCGUGCCAGCAGCCGCGGUAAUACGGAGGGUGCGAGCGUUAAUCGGAAUUACUGGGCGUAAAGCGCAUGCAGGUGGUUUGUUAAGUCAGAUGUGAAAGCCCGGGGCUCAACCUCGGAAUUGCAUUUGAAACUGGCAGACUAGAGUACUGUAGAGGGGGGUAGAAUUUCAGGUGUAGCGGUGAAAUGCGUAGAGAUCUGAA